GAUGAAGAACGUAGCGAAAUGCGAUACUUGGUGUGAAUUGCAGAAUCCCGUGAACCAUCGAGUCUUUGAACGUAAGUUGCGCCCGAAGCCAUUAGGCCGAGGGCACGCCUGCCUGGGCGUCACACGUCGUUGCCCCCCCAUCUACUCCUUCGGGAUUGCGGGGGGCGGAUGAUGGCCUCCCGUGCGCCUCGUCGCGCGGUUGGCAUAAAUGCCAAGUCCUCGGCGACGCACGCCACGACAAUCGGUGGUUGCGAAACCUCGGUUGCCCGUCGUGUGCGGUCGUCGCGCAUCGAGGGCUCGAAAAAAUUGCCGGGCUCCGGCUCGGCUUUCAACGCGACCCCAGGUCAGGCGGGGUUACCCGCUGAAUUUAAGCAUAUCAAUAAGCGGAGGA
RNAcentral lists this unclassified non-coding RNA (391 nucleotides) under soil metagenome. RNAcentral's name for it is "partial contains 5.8S ribosomal RNA, internal transcribed spacer 2, and large subunit ribosomal RNA". The stretch from base 1 to 122 matches the Rfam family "5.8S ribosomal RNA", at positions 35 to 154 of the family's 154-position model. The record is from RNAcentral.